AAGUAUACACUUUCAGGAAUCAUUUCUAUAGUUUGUUACAAUUUUGGGGUGAGCAAUGUCAUUCACACACCUCCUUACCUAUCUUGGGGAGAUGAGAGGUUGUACCUAUGUGUCAACAACUGUACUGUAAAUCAUUAACUUCUCAAUAAAGUAGG
Molecule: small nucleolar RNA, 155 nt
Filed under: Erinaceus europaeus (western European hedgehog)
Lineage: Eukaryota; Metazoa; Chordata; Mammalia; Eulipotyphla; Erinaceidae
Description: Small nucleolar RNA U3
Rfam family: Small nucleolar RNA U3
About the family: Small nucleolar RNAs (snoRNAs) are involved in the processing and modification of rRNA in the nucleolus. There are two main classes of snoRNAs: the box C/D class, and the box H/ACA class.
Source: Rfam by way of RNAcentral